AGUGGCGGACGGGUGAGUAAUGCAUCGGGACCUACCCAGACGUGGGGGAUAACGUAGGGAAACUUACGCUAAUACCGCAUACGUCCUACGGGAGAAAGCGGGGGAUCGCAAGGCCUCGCGCGGUUGGAUGGACCGAUGUGCGAUUAGCUAGUUGGUGAGGUAACGGCUCACCAAGGCGACGAUCGCUAGCUGGUCUGAGAGGAUGAUCAGCCACACUGGGACUGAGACACGGCCCAGACUCC
Molecule: ribosomal RNA, 242 nt
Filed under: uncultured Dyella sp.
Lineage: Bacteria; Pseudomonadati; Pseudomonadota; Gammaproteobacteria; Lysobacterales; Rhodanobacteraceae
Description: partial 16S ribosomal RNA
Rfam family: Bacterial small subunit ribosomal RNA
Source: RNAcentral